AUGCAUUCUUGGUUUCACGUUUGCUUCAAUUUUUGUUAUGCGAUUUAAAAUUAUUGAUGUAUUAGAAAGAAAAUUGUAUGAUUUAAAAUGAUUUCAGCAUGGUUUUUAGUCUAGCUAUCACAAAUAUUAUCACUACAAUUUUUAGCACUUUCAUGCAUGUAAAUUUAAGGGUAAGAAGAAGACAUUACCAUAGAGACAUUAGCACUAGAUUCUCCAAAUAUGCUUGAUCUUUGGGGCAUCAUUUGACGUGCUAAACCCAUUUCAUGAGCUAAACCCUCUUCCUGUUAUCAAAAGAUUUAUGAUUUAAAGUUGGAUCCCGUGGAAAAAAUAACAAAAUACAGGUAGAGAAAGGAAUGGCUAAAAUGGUAAAGGGACAGUUAACCAUUAGGUUAUUGAUGUGACCUUCCAUUAUCGAUGUUGCAUGAUUGGGUUCAAUUUUGUUAUAUGA
Molecule: long non-coding RNA, 448 nt
Filed under: Phoenix dactylifera (date palm)
Lineage: Eukaryota; Viridiplantae; Streptophyta; Magnoliopsida; Arecales; Arecaceae
Description: long non-coding RNA (PDAC_LNC000562)
Source: RNAcentral